Long non-coding RNA from Eucalyptus grandis, 1087 nucleotides. RefSeq lists it as uncharacterized. The record is from RefSeq and is a predicted model, not a curated record. The transcript has 2 exons. Lineage: Eukaryota; Viridiplantae; Streptophyta; Magnoliopsida; Myrtales; Myrtaceae.
AAUAAAUAAUAAUAAAAAGAGCAUAGAAUUAAUUUACACUAAAAAUAUAAAUCCAACAUUUGUUAAUAUCAUUCAUUAUUUUAAUUUGAUAUAUUGAACGAGAAAUUCAAAAAUUGCAAACAUGAAAGAGUAAACUUGAAGGAACAUGUCAUGUUUUUUUUAUACUUGUCGGAGAUUAGUGAGAUUUCUUGUAAUCCUAGACAGAGUUCAGAGUUCAUGAUAUAGACUAGCUUGGAGCUCCUCUACAAAACAAGGUUCAAGAAAAAUGAAAAUCCAGGACAAGAACUCUCGAAGUAUGACCAAAAGAAAAGGAAACCACUAAAUUGGCUACGGAAAAUGUGUGAGAUAACUCACAAGCCAAUAACAUAAUCCAAAAGAGAUAACUCGCAAGUGAUGCUUCCGAGAGACGGAAAUAAGCAAAAAAAAAUUAUAACUUCUAAGUAUGUGGGGGCAACGGAACGACGCCGACGAGAUGAGAGGCAUUCUAACCAUCAUCACUCAUGGGAAGAUCAGAACUUAUAAGUGAGAAACUUGAGACAAUGGAAUAGAGCACGUGGCUCAAAUUGCUGCAGAAUACAAUCAACAACUUGAUUCCUUGGUGGAAGCCUUGCUUCAACUCAUCAAGGAUUGGCAUGGCUAUUCAAGUCUAGCCAACAUUACCGGUGCACCUAUCAUUAUGCUUAUUUGUGUAGCAAUCAAGAUUGUUCGGCAGAAAUUACUCUCUGAGAUGGGAAGGCAGGAUAUGGACACAAGGUUCCAAAUUAUGUAUGAUCUAAUUGCUCUAGCUCUCGGAUGUGUUGCGUGCAGUCUGUUGAUGUACAUUCUGCUUGAUGAAAUACCUUGGUUGAUUGACUUUCCUUGGGUCCUAUUGUUACUAUUCCUCUUUGCAUUCAUCAUGAAUCAAAGGAUUAAUUAGUGAAAGGUGAUAGUUUCCGAUUUUCUAAUAUGGUGAUGUGUAUUUUAUAUGAAUUGGUUUUUCCUUUGUAACCUUCCAACACUAGCUCGGACAUGAACUUCAUGGUGUAUUUUUAUCUUGAAAACAAUGAUAGUUUCCGAUUAUUUUUAUCUAAUAAGGCAAUUAUUUUUU